Molecule: ribosomal RNA, 253 nt
Filed under: uncultured bacterium
Lineage: Bacteria
Description: partial 16S ribosomal RNA
Rfam family: Bacterial small subunit ribosomal RNA
Source: RNAcentral
UACGAAGGGGGCUAGCGUUGCUCGGAAUCACUGGGCGUAAAGCGCACGUAGGCGGCUUCUUAAGUCAGGGGUGAAAUCCUGGAGCUCAACUCCAGAACUGCCUUUGAUACUGAGAAGCUUGAGUCCGGGAGAGGUGAGUGGAACUGCGAGUGUAGAGGUGAAAUUCGUAGAUAUUCGCAAGAACACCAGUGGCGAAGGCGGCUCACUGGCCCGGUACUGACGCUGAGGUGCGAAAGCGUGGGAAGCAAACAGG